AAAAUUUGGUUUUAGUUUAUCAAUAGUUUUAAAUAGGAUUUGAUAUGCAAAGAAGGUAGAGGUUUCGCAAUCAGAAGAUUUUGUUAAGUGUGUACAAUAAAUUUUAUAGUUUUAGUUAACUAGGGUGCCAGCAGCUGCGGUUAUACCUUAAAAACAAAUUAAUCUGACAUAUUAUAAAAAUUACAAAUAGUAGAUUUAAUAAAUUAGUCGUGAAAAAGUAGAAGUUAUAUUUUUUGUAAAUAGUUUGAAAAAGGAGUAAAAACUAGGGUUAGUGGCCUACUAUAACCUGAGUAAAUUUUUUAAGGUAUUAAAAGUUUUAGCUCUAAACCUAAAAAACAUGGCAGUAUUUUACCCCUUGCAGAGGAACUUGAAUAUUAAUUAGAUACUCCCCCCUAUGUCUUACCUAAUUUUAUUUUAUGUGUGGUUGUUAAAAUAAGUAAAAAAUUAUAAAUUUUAAAUCAGAUGACAUGUAUAGAUAAUUAGGGUAAUUUUAGUUACAAUUAAAUAGAUUGAUAAUAAGAUAUCGGAUUUGCAAGUAUUAAAUUAAAAACAUAGGAAGAGGUUUUAAAAUGUGUCCAUAUUGUCCGUCGCUCUCAUAAAUGAGAUAAGUCGUAGCAAAGUAAGGAUUUUUGAAAAAGUCUUUGAUUUAACUAA
RNAcentral lists this ribosomal RNA (654 nucleotides) under Calanus sinicus. RNAcentral describes it as "12S ribosomal RNA". Lineage: Eukaryota; Metazoa; Arthropoda; Copepoda; Calanoida; Calanidae. The record is from RNAcentral.